Mytilus californianus (California mussel) is the source of this 389-nucleotide long non-coding RNA. RefSeq lists it as uncharacterized. The transcript is spliced from 2 exons. NCBI's taxonomy places the organism in Eukaryota, Metazoa, Mollusca, Bivalvia, Mytilida, Mytilidae. The record is from RefSeq and is a predicted model, not a curated record.
CUGUAAUACACAUUUAAAGGCAUAAGAAGACAACAUCCUGUAUAGGGGGUUUUGAAGACAGAUUCCAAAUGUUUACAACAAAGAAUGCCAAAUGAUAGCAACAGAUCGCACAGCCUUUACACAAGAUGCAAUAAAGAUUUUUUUUAUUGGAGCUAAUGUGUCAUAUUCCUGAAAAGGCAGAUUGUCUUAUCAAAGACAUAUUGCAAAGUGACGAAAAAGCUCACACUCCUGUAGGCCACCUGUGAGCUAAAACAGGAGCAUGAAGUUAAUGUCUAUUUUUUGUGUAUUAUAUCCAGCUCAUUUCAAAAAAAUAUUUCAUAAUGAUAAAAAUUUGUGUUCAAUAAAUUUGUCAAGUAAAAGCUAGAACAAAAUAAACUUACCAUCAGCAG